Long non-coding RNA from Vigna angularis (adzuki bean), 3588 nucleotides. RefSeq lists it as uncharacterized. Lineage: Eukaryota; Viridiplantae; Streptophyta; Magnoliopsida; Fabales; Fabaceae. The transcript has 2 exons. The record is from RefSeq and is a predicted model, not a curated record.
UCUUAAUUCCUAAUUCCAUUUUCAAAUUUCACACGUUCUGUUUGACCUUACUCUUCGCUCUUCUCAAUCCCUAACAAGAAAACGGGAGAGGGUUCACUUCGAACUCCAUUUCUGACCUGAGGGGCCGUAAAAGGAGACGGCGACAGCAGUGCCGGCGAAGGCCAGGACGACGUCAGGAGUCGAACCGUCGCCUGUGGCGGUUUCGUUUUCGAAGCUCUUCGCAUGUGCUGACCGCUUCGAUUGGUUCCUCAUGACCGUCGGCUCCCUUGCUGCCGUGGCUCAUGGCACCGCGCUCAUCAUUUACUUGCACUAUUUCGCGAAGAUCAUCCACGUGCUGCGAAUGGAUCUUAAACUCGGCAUGUCACACGAGCAGUUUAACAGGUUCACCGAGUUGGAAACUUUAUCUAUCAAAUUUACUGACCAAAGAGGUCGGAGAGGGGAUUAAGAGAGCUGGAAGGGUAAAGAGGAUUGGGGGAAUUCUGUGAGAUCUGACAAGUAGGAACUACCGUGGGAGCUGGAGAAAAACCUUUGAAGUCAAGGUUUCUUACUGGAAUCGAGGUAUGGGAGCUAAACAAAUUUCUUUAUUUAGUGUAGAACUUGUAUGAGAGUGUAAUUGUUUGACUUAUAAUUCUGUUUUAUCUCAUGAAAUUAGUUGAAAUACACAACUUGAUUUUGAAAUGAAUGAAGUAGGAUGAUGAAUAACUGAACCGUAUAACUCUUAAAUGCCUUGUAAAUCUGAGUUUAGAAAGAAAGAAGAGCUUGGGAUGGCAAUACCUUCUAUGACCACACGCUUUCUCCAAAACUCUUUGAUGAUUCGUGUGUAAUUGGUAGAGCUCUCUGUUUACUCCCUUAGUAGGUUAGUAUGAGACUGAAUUUCCUUGCAAGUGUUCCAUUAGGGCGUGUGAUAUUCCGUUGAAGGGUCAUACACUCAUUUUGUUUCUUGGAUGACUAGUUGUUUACCUGGUACACUUUAUUUUAUUCCUUUGCCCAUGUUGUACUAAAGCUGAUCUACCAUGUUAUGCUGUUUUAUAUGGUUAAAUUCUUUUAUAUCUAUUUACUACUCUGCUGCAUCAUAUUCUUUUGUUUCGCCAUCUUAUUUAAAAUUUACGGACACAUCAUAUACUUGAGAUGACCAUAUAUAGUUACUUCCUUUAAAUUAUAAUAAGAGAAUAAACCAUGGCUCAUGAUGACUGCACGCAAGUUAUAAAACUUUAGGUGUCUUGAUAGAGUACUAUUCUCUUCUUUCUAGAUGUUACAGCUUUAGUCAUUUCUACUGCCAUAAACUUUAUCUUUUAGUGUACAUGUUUGUCCAUCACUAUUCACGGCAUUAGUUUGGCUAAUAUAUGGGCCACCGAACAGUUAUUCCUGCAUAACUUGAAUUGGUGUUUUUGUUUCAUUCAAGUGUAAGAUUAUCCUUUUGGUUUAAUAAAGGUAAGGUAUGAAAAUUAUGGUCAUAUUAUAAGUUGAAAACAAUUUGUCACCAUGGAUAGUUUUGUUCACUGAAUUUUACUCAAAUCUAAUGUGUAGUUGAUGGUUAUUAAAGCUAAUAUGAUACAGUUAAUUUCAAGAAGAUAUUACCAAUCUUUGACAGCCUAGAGUGACUCUGUUCUCUUAAAUUCUUCUCCUCUUAGUGCUAAAUUUUUAUUCUGUUAUUCCUUGAUGAGAAAGGUCUAGCCAUGUGACAAUGUACAGUAUGAAAGCCCUCCACUACUGAAAAUUGAAUAAGAAAUCAGCUUGUAAAGCCUCAUAAGCUAAAAGUAUUGAAAUAGAAUUAAAAUCUCUAUGAAUGACCUUUCAAAUCUGGUUUAUAAAAUCUGUCUUUAGAGUUUCUGUCUAGAUAUGUUUGGUUGAUGGCUUGAGUUUAUCUCUUGGCCUAGCUUAUAUUUAUUAUACAUGAAAGGAGUGUAACCGUGGGCCAUGCUCCCUCUUCAAAUAUUUUAACGCCUAGUAUGGUGCAUCCAUUUUCUUUUCUGAUUUAAAAUCCUGAAAUCUGAUUAUAUUUCUAUGAAUGAAUCAUGAAAAUACGUAUAUGGGGUAGAGCUAGACUUUUGUAAGUUUUCUUUAAAGUAAAAGAUUGCUACGUGAAAUGGUUUGUUUUUGGAUGAUAAAUAAAUUAAGAUUGUGGUGGUAGGGUCGUUAAUGCAUGGAUCACUUUUAAGUGGUGCAGAUUAUUUUUAUAUUAAAAGCAUUCAUCACUUUUAUAAAUAAACGAUGCAUAGUUUACUGAAAUUGAAAGUCAUCUUAUAAUAGGAUAUUUUGGUUUUCUUUGCAAGAAAUGAAACGCAAAUUUAAAGAGAAAUAAUUAAUGUUAAAAGAAAAAUGCUAAAUGCCUACGAGUGAAUCAUCUGUUAGGAGUAAAGAAUUGGAACUGUUAUAUAUAUUGAGUGAUGGACAUUUACACAACUAAGUGCCUGAACCAAAAAUAAAUGUUAAGAACUAAAAUAAGGGUCUUUAUUUAGUAUUAUAAGGAUAAGAAUAUUCAGGUUUGAAUUAGGAUUUCAUUUUACUUUAUGUUAUUUUAUUUUCUAUUUAAGGUAAAAUUAGAAAUUCUUUUUAUUAUUAUUAUUAUUAUGUGUUAGUAUAAGGGUGGUUGUUUUAUAGUUGAGCGUGUGACUAGUAUUAUGUGUUAGUCUUUGAACCACAAUGCUGUCUAUACUCUAAGAAUCCUGUCUAUACUAAGAAUUGGUGAUGUUUCCCUUCUCACAGGACACUAAGAAUCCUGUCUAUACUCUCAACAUACCAAAAAUCGUCCCCCAUAACAACAAAAACCUCCUAACCAACUAACUAUUUGUUUUUUCCUUCUUACCUAGACAUUUAGUUACCUAGAAUGAAAAAUAACUCAUUCCUAAGAACCCAACAAUCAAUUUCACCAAGAAAAAAAAAAUGAACAUAUGUGAAUUUGCAUUUUCAGCAUAUUUCAUUAUGUUUAAGCAUUGAAUUUACAUACUUAGGUAUAUAGGAUCAUGAUUAGAUUUAUACCAUUGCAUCAAACCCAAAAUUGAACAUGAUUGCUGUCACAAGCUAUUUUGGUUCUCUUUGAUGUCAAAUUUGGUUUGGUAAGUGAUUUUCGGAUUUUUGAGUUUUUAGCCCAGUUUUUAGAAGAAAUGAUACUUGCGGCCUCUUUAUAUUUGUUGCCUCUCUGUAUAUGUGUUAAGUAAGUCAUUUAUACCAUUUUACUCAACAAUUGUCAUCUUUUCUGUGUCUUACGUAAAAUAUAUAAUUUGGGAAGCAUCGUUCACCACGAGGCUAUUAAAGAUGUAUGUUGCUGGUGGUUGUAGAUAUUAGAAGUGUAAGUUUUCCUUUCUAUUUUGAUUCUUUUCUAUAUUAUUGUUAUGAUAUGAUGGAUGUCUACCUUUUGUAUAGCUUUUUGAAAGCUCAUUCAAGGUUGCGGGAUGUUUCAUCUGUUUCUAGGAAGAUGAAAAUAAUCACAUCGAAGGAACCAAGUUUCUUUUAUUUUAAGUGUUAGUAGAAACUUGGCUACAAUUCAAUAGUGUAUGUAUAUUAAUGUAAUAUUUGGACUUAAUAUAUAGUUUCAUGUAUAAAUGAUCUAUUAAAUAUUAUUAGGCAAUUUAAUGUUUGAAAUAAUUA